RNAcentral lists this ribosomal RNA (254 nucleotides) under uncultured bacterium. Its description in RNAcentral is "partial 16S ribosomal RNA". It matches the Rfam family "Bacterial small subunit ribosomal RNA", at positions 524 to 776 of the family's 1533-position model. The record is from RNAcentral.
UACGGUGGGAGCAAGCGUUGUUCGGAUUUACUGGGCGUAAAGGGCGCGUAGGCGGCCAGCACAAGUCAGUUGUGAAAUCUCCGGGCUUAACUCGGAAAGGUCAACUGAUACUGUGCGGCUAGAGUGCAGAAGGGGCAACUGGAAUUCUCGGUGUAGCGGUGAAAUGCGUAGAUAUCGAGAGGAACACCUGCGGCGAAGGCGGGUUGCUGGGCUGACACUGACGCUGAUGCGCGAAAGCCAGGGGAGCGAACGGG